GCGAGGUGAUUGUUAGUGGAAAACUCAGGGCACAGCGUGCAAAGUCUAUGAAGUUCAAAGACGGAUAUAUGAUCUCUUCGGGUCAACCAGUCAGAGAUUAUAUUGACUCAGCUGUUAGACACGUUCUUCUUAGACAGGGAGUUCUUGGUAUCAAAGUUAAGAUCAUGCUUGAUUGGGAUCCUAAGGGCAAGCAAGGCCCUACCACCCCUCUACCUGAUGUUGUAACCAUCCACUCUCCCAAGGAGGAAGAAGAAAUCGUUCACAGACCAGCAGCAGUUUUGACCACUGAUAUUGAGGUUCCAGUAGCAGUAGCUUGAGAGGCUUCCCUUCUAGAUAUUUAUGUAUGGAACCAACCAUCAUCCUUUUUGUAUUUUCUUUCCCAAAGAUUUCGUUAUGUCUCAUUGAUCUGUUGGUUUGAGCCUCCGACUGCAGGGCGUUCUUUUCGAUAAUCAAACAAAUUGCAUAUGGAGAACAGUCUUUAUGAUGCCUUAGCCUUUUAUCUAUUUCCAUUUUUGUUUAAUGAUUAUUUA
This 530-nucleotide unclassified non-coding RNA is filed under the name Hevea brasiliensis (rubber tree). Lineage: Eukaryota; Viridiplantae; Streptophyta; Magnoliopsida; Malpighiales; Euphorbiaceae. The record is from RNAcentral.